UACGGAGGGGGCUAGCGUUGUUCGGAAUUACUGGGCGUAAAGCGCGCGCAGGCGGUCUUCCAAGUCAGUGGUGAAAGCCCGGAGCUCAACUCCGGAACUGCCAUUGAAACUGUUGGACUUGAGUACGAGAGAGGUGAGUGGAAUUCCCAGUGUAGAGGUGAAAUUCGUAGAUAUUGGGAAGAACACCGGUGGCGAAGGCGGCUCACUGGCUCGUAACUGACGCUCAGGCGCGACAGCGUGGGGGAGCAAACAGG
This 254-nucleotide ribosomal RNA is filed under the name uncultured bacterium. RNAcentral describes it as "partial 16S ribosomal RNA". It matches the Rfam family "Bacterial small subunit ribosomal RNA", at positions 524 to 776 of the family's 1533-position model. The record is from RNAcentral.